GGAGAUAAUAUUAUGCACAGGCGCUCUAUGUGCCCAAGCAACACCAACUAAAUCUUGCUGCAACGCUUCAACAAUACCAGCUGGUGGGACGAAGACAAUCCGAAGACCACACUCAAAUUUCAAAGCCUCACUAGCCAUGAAGUCAGCCGCAUGAUCGUACUCCCUAUAAAGAUGGGCAAUCCGCACAUCCCGCUCCUUAUUAGUGAGACACCGACAUACAUGAAUAAGAUUGCUG
RNAcentral lists this long non-coding RNA (235 nucleotides) under Ricinus communis (castor bean). Its description in RNAcentral is "long non-coding RNA (RCOM_LNC001644)". Lineage: Eukaryota; Viridiplantae; Streptophyta; Magnoliopsida; Malpighiales; Euphorbiaceae. The record is from RNAcentral.